This 45-nucleotide non-coding RNA is filed under the name Schistosoma mansoni. The record is from RNAcentral. Lineage: Eukaryota; Metazoa; Platyhelminthes; Trematoda; Strigeidida; Schistosomatidae.
AUCCAGCUGACGAAUCCCAAAUAGGACGAAAUGCGCGUCCUGUAU